This is a small nucleolar RNA of Oryctolagus cuniculus (rabbit), 130 nucleotides long. NCBI's taxonomy places the organism in Eukaryota, Metazoa, Chordata, Mammalia, Lagomorpha, Leporidae. The record is from Ensembl.
UGCCCUUGUUUAUGUUUUUUGUUCAACUUGCAGACAAAGAAUGACAUACAGGUGCACAAAAUAUAUUCUUGUUUGCAACCCAGAACUCUUUGAUCACCAUGAAUUUUGAUACAUUACAAGCAGGAAUAGG